UGAUAUGAGAGUUUGAUCCUGGCUCAGGAUGAACGCUGGCGGCGUGCCUAAUACAUGCAAGUCGAACGAGUUCUGGUUAAUGAUGGCGGUGCUUGCACCAAUAGAUUUAACAUUUGAACGAGUGGCGGACGGGUGAGUAACACGUGGGUAACCUGCCCUAAAGUGGGGGAUAACAUUUGGAAACAGAUGCUAAUACCGCAUAAAUCUUGGAACCUCAUGGUUCCAAGCUGAAAGAUGGCGUAAGCUAUCGCUUUUGGAUGGACCCGCGGCGUAUUAGCUAGUUGGUGAGGUAAAGGCUCACCAAGGCGAUGAUACGUAGCCGACCUGAGAGGGUGAUCGGCCACAUUGGGACUGAGACACGGCCCAAACUCCUACGGGAGGCAGCAGUAGGGAAUCUUCCACAAUGGACGAAAGUCUGAUGGAGCAACGCCGCGUGAGUGAAGAAGGUUUUCGGAUCGUAAAACUCUGUUGUUGGAGAAGAACGUACGUGAGAGUAACUGUUCACGUAGUGACGGUAUCCAACCAGAAAGCCACGGCUAACUACGUGCCAGCAGCCGCGGUAAUACGUAGGUGGCAAGCGUUAUCCGGAUUUAUUGGGCGUAAAGCGAGCGCAGGCGGUUUCUUAAGUCUGAUGUGAAAGCCCUCGGCUCAACCGAGGAAGUGCAUCGGAAACUGGGAAACUUGAGUGCAGAAGAGGACAGUGGAACUCCAUGUGUAGCGGUGGAAUGCGUAGAUAUAUGGAAGAACACCAGUGGCGAAGGCGGCUGUCUGGUCUGUAACUGACGCUGAGGCUCGAAAGCAUGGGUAGCGAACAGGAUUAGAUACCCUGGUAGUCCAUGCCGUAAACGAUGAAUACUAAGUGUUGGAGGGUUUCCGCCCUUCAGUGCUGCAGCUAACGCAUUAAGUAUUCCGCCUGGGGAGUACGACCGCAAGGUUGAAACUCAAAGGAAUUGACGGGGGCCCGCACAAGCGGUGGAGCAUGUGGUUUAAUUCGAAGCAACGCGAAGAACCUUACCAGGUCUUGACAUCUUCUGCUAUUCUAAGAGAUUAGAAGUUCCCUUCGGGGACAGAAUGACAGGUGGUGCAUGGUUGUCGUCAGCUCGUGUCGUGAGAUGUUGGGUUAAGUCCCGCAACGAGCGCAACCCUUAUGACUAGUUGCCAGCAUUAAGUUGGGCACUCUAAUCAGACUGCCGGUGACAAACCGGAGGAAGGUGGGGAUGACGUCAAAUCAUCAUGCCCCUUAUGACCUGGGCUACACACGUGCUACAAUGGAUGGUACAACGAGUCGCAAAACCGCGAGGUUAAGCUAAUCUCUUAAAGCCAUUCUCAGUCCGGACUGUAGGCUGCAACUCGCCUACACGAAGUCGGAAUCGCUAGUAAUCGCGGAUCAGCAUGCCGCGGUGAAUACGUUCCCGGGCCUUGUACACACCGCCCGUCACACCAUGAGAGUUUGUAACACCCGAAGCCGGUGGGGUAACCUUUUAGGAGCUAGCCGUCUAAGGUGGGACAGAUGAUUAGGGUGAAGUCGUAACAAGGUAGCCGUAGGAGAACCUGCGGCUGGAUCACCUCCUUU
This is a ribosomal RNA of 1573 nucleotides. It matches the Rfam family "Bacterial small subunit ribosomal RNA". The record is from Rfam.